RNAcentral lists this long non-coding RNA (18486 nucleotides) under Nasonia vitripennis (jewel wasp). RNAcentral describes it as "uncharacterized LOC116415803". Lineage: Eukaryota; Metazoa; Arthropoda; Insecta; Hymenoptera; Pteromalidae. The record is from RNAcentral.
GAGAGCGAGAAAACUCGCGCCUUUUACAGAGCGAUAACUGCAGCGGCUACGCGAUUAAAUGACCGGUUUAUUUUUAGGUGCGUAUACGUGCUCGUGUUUACUCAGCGGAUGUAAUAAUUUUAUAGUAAGUGGUUAUUGGCGGUUUAUAGCUUCCAGGUUUAAUUCAAUCCGAGCAGGAUUAUUUUGAUGAAAUGUGUGCAAAAUGCGCGUUUAUAAACGAAAAGCGCAUGUUGUAAAAGUUGAUCGUAAUGGAACUUCUUUUACAGGGCGAUAGCUCGAAUUACGCAACGGGUAUACAGAUAAUCAUCCCUCUCAGAGGAGGCACGAACGGGAUUUCCAAAAUCAAUUAACAUAAUUAGCAUAAUUUUGAAUCCGGCUUGCAAAUCAAGCCGAGGCACAGGGUAUAAUCAGCAUGCCUUGAUAGAGGAAAAAAGGUCAUUCUCGAAAACAAUACACAGCGAAAACUAGUUAAACCUCUCAGUCAUCUAAGAGGAUGAUUUCGAAUCAUUUCAUCAAACAUACCCGACACGACUAUCUCUUCUAAUUUAAAUACGCAUAGGUAUAUAUACUCACCUAUGAACCAUCGAUUUCACGAGCAGCGAUUAAACGAGACAGCUGUGAUUAAAAUUUUCAUUCAAACCCAUAUGCAAGUGAUCGACUAAUUAUAAUAAGCCUAUACGUUAUUACACCAACCUACAUUCGAUCCCAUCUAGAAAAUUUAUACGAAUCGCCAUAGAAACUUGUUUGAAAAAUCUCACAAACGACGAACAACGCGGAAUAUUUAGAAAACCGUCGAGUUUCCCUGAAACCGUUCGCGAUCGCGCUCGUAAAGCGCCGAACGACUUCCAAUAUAACGAGUGUAUCCUACACAGUCAGUCGUGCUGUACGUGAGUUACCGCGAAGGCAAUGAAGAAAGGAGAUCGUCCAUCGCGAGCGCGAUGCUGGAUGAGCGAAAUGAAAUGUCGCUUGGACUAGUUAUCGAUCGAAUGUAUUGCUCGAUGGCUCGGUCUAAUUGCGGGAUUGAAGUGGCUUGUCGGACGACGGUGACGCAGUUUGUAUAGAGGUAUCUUCGAGAAAUAGAUUUGAUUGAUGAAUUCUUUUUUCGGUAGUGGAUUUCAUUUGCUAUUUAAGUAAGCUUCUUAUUGAUGUAGAUGUAUAGUAUUUUCUUUUGAUUGAUACAUCGUUAUUUAGGAUCGAUCGUACAAUGCUCGAGACUUUUAAGACGAUAUUUGUUUUAUUGGUCGUUGAUCUGUGAUUUUUUGUCUGGAGUUUAUAUUCCAAGAGUUAAUUUUCGGAAUGGCCUUAUUUGGCUUUUACUGUGAUUCAGUAAGAAGUUGUGUAGUCAUUUCGUAGGUAUUCCUGUGUCGGUCAUAUAAACUAGUCAGGCGCGAUUUGCUUUCAUUAAUGUAAUUGAAAAUAAUUAUUUUCUUUCCACGCGCGUUGCAUAAGUGCGAAUUAUUCUUUUCCACGUAAUCCUUUAUCUUUGUGCACGCGGCAAUCAAUCUGCAAUUUUGUAUGUAAAACAAGAAUCGUACUCCCGAGAGUGACUUAUAAUUUUUGGAAUGUUGGUUAAAAAGUGUGAUAAAAUGUAACGAAUGCUGUUACAUUGAAGUAUACUUAUACUCAUACAAUCGUAACAGACGUGCAGUGUGCUUUAUGUUUCCUGAAAAUUCAAUUUAAAUUAUACUAAGCAUCAUUACAGUAAAUUAGAUCUAAUUAUCUAAUUCGCUCUAUUGACGCCAACAGUAAUUCUCGCAUUUUUCGUCGUAUGAACUAAACAAACUUUGAUAAUAUUUUGUUGGCCUAACAUUAAAAUCAUACAUCCAACAAAAACUUUAAAAAAUAUGAAUCCGAUAGCAUUUGACUGAGCAAGAUUUUUCGCUCUCUUAUAUCAGCAAAAUGGAAUAUGCUUGUCAAUCCAUAUGCACUGAAAAAAACGACUCUCAUUCUAGGCCUCGAAAUCACGGGAUUAAAUUCGAAGCCAUCACCGCGAAACCGCACAGCGCGCCUGAUAUAUAUACGUCACGUCAUAAAAAGGAAUUUUUCCUAUCGCAGCUCUAUACUUCAGCGAAAUGCAGCGCGCGUGCACCAAUGAACGCGCAACUCCUUUUGCGUAACGUCGUCCCACGAGGCAUCUGCUGUACUUACGUAAACAAACAAGGACAUAUUAUAGUCGCGGAGACAAAGCCGAGUCGUCGGGGAAAAAAUAAGUCUAUAGAGCUGCUUUCUCAAAGAUUGUAAGCACUAUUCAAUUUGCUUCAGGAUGACGAUUAGUGCGUGCGACGGCUUCGAAUCUGUUGUAUACUGUGUUGAAAAUUUAGUCCGAAAUUAUUUAUUUUCGAGAGUAACGAGGAACGGCAGGAGCUAGUGUAGCGACGUUGCUUCUUUAUGCUGACGUUUUUCGCUGAAUUUUUUUAAAUAGUUUUAAAUAGACUCGUUUUUUUGAGUAUUUAUUUUUUAAUUAAUAGUUAUUAAUAAUUUUAUAAUCUUAUAUCUAUAUCUACACGUUCCUCUCAUUUACCCAAAAUAAAAACAGUUUCAAUACCCACACAUCGAUGACAAGAAAGUUGUUGGUCACUAACGAUACCUGACAUUAAUGCGCUUUUAAUGCCUGCACUACAAGCUCGCGUUGAUGAUUAUGUCUGUGAUUUCAAAACUCGUGAUUUCACCGAACUCGUCGAGAAAACCGCGCUUGAAAUCAGAACGAAGCGAUGCUUGCCUAUCUCGUUGUUUUUGAACCGUACAGCGAUCUGUUCGAGCAUCUUUCACUCAUCGCGUGGCACUCGAGCGAAUUUCCCCGAGAGCUAAAGUCAAAUCUGCCGAGAGAGUGAGAGAUGAAAGCCGCGAGCGACUGCGGACGCUUCGAUAAAUGGACCGCGAACCGUGCAAAAGUAUGGCGAUGCGAUUUUAGGAUUUAAUUUCGUUCUUCUGCUAAGUUCAGAAAGAGUAGGAUGACUAUUUUUGGCAAUUCUCUUGAACGUCAGGAGAACAGUGCAUCAUUGUAUACAGCCGUUUUACGCGUUUUAGUGCGAAAAAAAAAUUAACAUCUUGCUAGUAUGAAAUAUUGCUAAACGCGACCAUUGCAAAAUUUAACGUCUAUAGCUAUUUUAGACGCAUUUUGCGCGUAAAAAGUGCGCAUACUGUGUUCGAGCUGCUCUCUACCGAAAGAACGAAUCGCGACUUCAUAUGUACUUCGUAUACCUCUGAAAAAAAUCAGCGCUGAAAUCUCAGCACUCGCGCGCGUUUCGUAUAAAAGGAGCGAGAGAAGGUUGUAUUUUUGUUCGACCGCCUCCUUUUACCACUGCUGCUCUUCUCCGGCGUUCUUUACGUCCUUUUUCGCGAACCGGCUCUCGCCAAACGCGUGUUCCCGUCCAAUUAGCAUUAUCUGCUCGUACGAUUUUCCCUCUCCCCGGUAACCUGCUUUUGCUGUUAGCUCGUCCGUUUCUACUGCUGCUGUUAAACGAGUGAAUACGUGAAUAGUGUAUAAGGGUUGCUGGUGGAUGUGCAUAAAUUGAGGAAUUCGCCCGAGCGCCAGUUUGUUUUAAAGAGCUUUUGGGAUCGAGAUGCGCGGUAUCGGUAUACUUUUGAUGCCGAAUGUGACCAACUUUUGUAUUUAACAUUUUCUGUUAUGUUUUCAUAUUUCUUUUAUAACUAGCUAUCAGCGUGGAUACUUCAUAUAUAGACGUGCGCCAGCCAUGAUAAGACCAUUUUGACAAGCCUGCUUGCAUUGCUCAUACCAUAACUGCCUAAGAUAAACGCACCAAUACUGAUUAUCAUCGCCUUCGUUUUCACUCAUGAUGAGGCUGAAAAGUCUCUCAAUAAUCUAGAAUUUCUUUUUCGGCUUUUGUUUAAGUAUCCGUGAACACAUCUGAACAGCUUCGCGAAAAACUUUGUCACUUAACCUCUUAACGAAAUACGGUUUGUUCGCUAUAGGUCUGUACAUAUAUAGUUUCCCAAUUUUUCCAGGCCGCUUACCCUUUUUAAAAAUUUAGUGCGUUUUACCGGAAUUCCACUGAAGCUUAUUGCGGAACGCACUCAGAGAUGAGCGUCUUUUAUUACUGUUUCGACUAAGGUUAACAAUCAUCUUUCCUGUUGGCUAUGUAAAUAUAAGUCGGCGUUAUCGCAACGACACACGCUGGCUUCCUAAUCCCGGUGGUUCGCUCGUUAACACGGCUGAACCAGUUGCAUUUUUCUCGAUCUUUCUCCUGAUUUAAAAGUAAAAGCGAAGCGUCAUCCUCUGAGCUGGAUGGAGAAAAAAAGUAAGAGGAAGAAUCGCAUGUAUUUACACGAAGCCGAACAGGAACAACGAAAGCGCAUGAAGUCUAAGCCGGAAAAAAGUGAAAAGAGACUUUGUCGCGCGACGCAUUUGCUGCGUAUCAUCUCUCUCAUGUCGUCUCGAAAACAAUGAGCGCUUUCAUCGAAAAAAAAGAUACCCUCGCGGUUUCCAACGUUGCUGCAUCAUAUUGUCGGGGCCUUUGACCUACUGAAUUCUCGCUUACGAAAUUAACAAUAAACCUUUCGAUCAGUUCUCACAGCUAUAUGGCAAUCGUAACAACACCGCAGAUUUAUCGCAAAGGCACAGCAUUACAAGGCGCUAAACGAACGCUUAAAAGUGCAUAAUUCAUCUGGUCGAAGAGCCGUAAACUCGAAGCUCGCGCGAGCGAGCGCACCCACGCGGUUUCUUCUUCUUCUUUUUCUUCCUAUUCAGCUCGUCGCGCGUCUGGACGCACGUAAUUAUUCUGCUCGCUGGCCUGAAAAUCCUCGGAGCCGUGUCACUGUAUUCGCGGCUGGAGCGUCAAACUCUUUCUCUCUGUGCUACACGGUGCUGGUGUCUCGGUUGGCAUCCAAUUCGGAAAAUUAUCGAGCCGUUAUAUUCUGCGAAGAAGGAUUAAUGCAACUUUUUAUUGUCGCGGUUCUAAAUUGUGAUGUCUUUUCAGAUGACUGCUCUCUCAUAUUGUUUGUUCGGAUGAACUGGCAGUAGUGUGCUUUUUGUUGAAUCGCGUCAGAUUUUUUUUCAUAACGAGAUAGAGAACAAAUGCGUUUAUAAAAGUUUGCUCUACUAUUUUUGCAAGGAUGUUAUAUAACGUUUGGCUCAUAAUUAUAAAAUUGUGGUCAAUGGGACUCACAUGGCAAGAAUCAAACGGAAAUGGAGACAGCGUUAUAGUAGCGGCUUUUAGAACGACAAAGUCAUAUUUUAUUCACGGCGCAAAUAAUUCGCAAGAUAAUCUCUAAGGAAAUUGCUUAAUGUCAGCUGUGUAAGCAGAGUGAGCAUCGGGGUUCAAUGAUUCCUUCAGAGUCCCCUGACCCUAUGCACACACUCGCUCAGCUGUGCCGUGCCAUUGAGUAAUUCAUUUCGACAUUUCGCGCGCGCAUAAAAAUCAGCGAUCUUGAUACAGCUAAAUUUUAAUGAAUUUCCCUAUUGUCUUUGCCGAGACAGUCGUCGUAUAGUCGUCGCCUCAUUAAUCGUCGUUAUAUACCGGGUCAAAUACGUUUUAGUUCUAUAGAGUAUCAGACUAUGAUGAUGUUCGUGCGAAAGGAAAUGAGCUUUUGAAGUAAUAUUACUUGAACUAAUCGAUGCAAGUUUAAUUCAGUUUAAUUAAAUUAGUCGAUCGAGAGAAAACAAAGAUGCGCAAUAUAUGAUAUAUCUCUCCGACGGGAUCGGAAAGUAAGUCAAAAACGAUGCCGAACGAAACCAGUUUUGAAGCUAGUUCCAGUGAGCAAAACAAAUCAAAUUUUACGAUGAGUAUACCAAAAAAAAACUAGAUCGUAAAUCAACGAUACGUCUUUUUUCUGCGGAAAUUAAAAUGCAGGUGGAUUAAGCUGAAUCAUUAAAUCGAAUGAAAAACUCAUCGUGAAUCUUUCAUAAACUACUUGAAGCUUGUAAUCCAAAAAUAUAAGGAUCUUCGAUUUCUCAACACCCCAGUUCAAGCGGCAAAACGUCUAUACGUACCCGACACGACAAGUGAUCGCAAGGAUUGUCGCUUUGCAUAACUUUAUUACGAGAUAAGUGCAGCGCGCUAAGUGCGUGCGACAAGCGUACGUGAUGUAGAAUUUCAUCGUACCAACUCCGCACAUAGCGAAGAGAGUGUAUAUAAUAUCUGCAAUUGGAAGAUUACGCGGAUAAAUCUCGUUGUCGCAUAAGCUCGCGAGGGAGAGGGCUUUUUCGAAAUCCUCUUUAUAUUUUUGGCCAUCUUUUACUGUCAUAUGCGACGCGAUUUGUGUGUUUCUGGAAUAGUUUUUGAUGUAUCGCUAUAAUAUUUGUUAUCGAUACGGUUAGAAUUUUCCAUCGAAGCUUUGAAGUUUAUCAAAACCAGGCGCUAAAUCCGGUUCGUAUUUCCCAAUCCUAAAGCCAGCCUAUAUUAUACUCGAGUCAUAAUCCAGAUAAUCUCCAGCACACAUCCCGAACGAAAGCGAAAUCGACGCGGAGUAAGAGCCGAUACACUUUCACAUUCGGUCCAUUUUCGGCUCGCGAUCUCCAGGUCUCAUCCGUCGGCGGGCGUUACACUUUACACGCUCGAGAUUCUUGAACCCGCGUCUCUCUAUUUCUUGGGCAAGUGGAGGUGGCCGCAGCGAGACACGAGACCGUUACAAUUCCGUGGGGCCUAAACACCGGGAAAGUUUCAGAGCACAAUAAAAGCUAACUGUCCCGGGGCAUGGGAAACCGAGGCCUCGAUUCGGAACUCUCGGGUUCUUUUUUUUUACGGGCUUUUGUUUCGUGGAGACUUCCGACGCUGUUAUGAAAAAUUUGAAAUUCGAAGGAAGUUUUUGAACGAAGGACAAGUCCACUCGAUAAAUAGAGUGAGACAGAUGCGAGAAACUACACUUGGCGAAACCGCGUAAUGUCGCAGGAAAUUGCGUUUCGGUUACAGUCGUGUCGUAGUAGUUUGCCAUCUAAAGAGUGCGUGACAGCGCGGGACUUGCGUUCUUUUUUUCGGAGUCUCGGCGUGCAACGGGUGAAUUAUUUUUAAAAUCGUUGAAAAAACAAAGGAGACGUUGCGUGUUGGCGUUUUCUGGAAAAGAAUAAGUAACGCCGGCGCGUGUUUGCCAUGUAAAUGCAAUGACAAAAUCCAAUGGCUAUUUUAUAAGGUAGCUCUAUUCCGUGAAUAAAUUUAAUUUUUUCAAAUCGAAAUGCUAUAAUUGCGAUUGUAAAAUUAGAGGCGUAUAACACGUGGAGCAUCAAUAAACCGCAUUAGAAAAUGUAUGCAAAUAUUUUUCAUGUUUAAAGCAUGAGGUCUGCGAAUAAUUCAAAUUCGACAUGGCGGGUUACAAAGAAGAUUUAAGCGGUUUACACGACAAAGAUAGUUUUUUAUCCAAUAUACCAUAUCGAAUAAUUAAAGCAGUCAUUUUUAGCUUCAAGCGUGACGAUUCGGGCAUUCACGUCGGAAAAAAUUCACUUUCCACAAAAGCUGCGCUGAUUACUGUGAAGAGGUUUUUUCACGCUCUUCUCAUAAAGGUUCAAAGCGCGUAGAAGUAUAAAUCAAGCGGCGGUAACGAAGCGAGUGUGAGAAGUAUCGCGCGUUCCACGAAGAAUUUACGUGGUCUUACGGCUUUGUUUCCUGGUUUCCGUGAGAAAUGCGCCGUAAACUAUGCCGUUUUCCAUUGCUAGUAAACUUAACUUAUUGUGAUAAUAAAGCAGAGCUUGUUAAUUUCUCCAUUUUGAAAAAAGAAACAGGCUUCGCCUUAUCUCAAAGUUAUAAUCACCGGCGCUCGGUGGAAAAAAAAUGCAACGGUGCAGCCCUAUUUUCAACAUUUUUCCAGAUGAGUCUAUAAAAAGUUCCCUGCAAAGUAUGGCCUGUCUUUUCCUUCCAACUCCUCACACACACACACAUCACAUAGCUGGCGGCGAUAGUUCCUGCAACUACGUUUUUUCCACACGCUCCGUAUUUUCUUUUUUUUCGUUUCACGUACACUCGACGCGUAGAUCAUAUACAUACACGAGAGGAGCUAAAAAAAGCAAGAAAAAUAUAUACUGCAAGUGACUUCCCACGUUAUACGGAGAGCUUUUCUCCGCUCUCUAUUUUUACGCGACUCGUCGAUGGCAUGAUGCGAAACGAUUAAGAUGAAGUACCGAUAUAUCCUGGGAUAUGCGCUUGUUAGGGUUAUAAAUUACACGGAAAAUUUAAAUACGCGACGAAGAAAGUUCGUUGUACCCGUGUAAUACGUACAGAGAAAAAUGUGAAUCGAUUAAUCCAGCGUUUUCUCAUACACGUAUUAAAAAAACUUUGUUAUCGAUAGAAAGGCAAGUUCUUAUAUUAAAACAAUCUUCAAAAUCAGUAUAAGCUAUAUACACUCGAAAAAAUGACCGUAAACAUGAGCACUUUGGCUCGGUACUUUUACGUCGCGUGAGUCACGUUUUCCAAACCCGUUUCCACGGCGUUUUUUUCUCGCGCAGCUCGCCCGACCAGUUGCGCGAUGAACGUUGUUGUGUUAUUUGCGGCGAACGCGAAAUUCAUGUACCGCAUUUUUUGCGACAUCAGAGUAGAACCUGGAAUUAUUCAAUUUCGCGCGUUUGCGACCUGAAAUAUAUAAAACAAGCUCAAUGUCUUAAACUGCAUCAAUAUAUAAAGAUGUGCCGACGAACUCGAAGUAUACAUUGGCCUGUAUCAAAAACUCCUCGAUCAUCGGGAAAGCAAUUCGCAUCAAUCUUUGAGUCAAUCCACCUCCUGUUUUCCAUAUAAAUAGAAACAUCACUCCGCGUGGACUGUCGCCGAUAUCGAGCCAUCAAACCGCGCGCGAAACUCGGCGCCUCUCGCGCAAUAAAGCCACGGCGUUGAUAUACUCACUCGCGCAGGUCUGAGGGAAAACGUAUAGGUAGGAAUAAACGCCCGCAGCCAUGCACCGCGUGUAUAUAGGACGUGUUGCGCGCGAUGAUGAAGAAGAAGAAGUUAAGACCCGGGCGCGACACCGAUGCACUUUGUGUGCAGCGUAUAAAUAGACGCGCUGCACAUAAAUAUACAUAUGCCACGGCGGCGGCGGCCGAGGGAUUAGGCCGCUGCGUUGCUGCUGCGACUGCUUUUUGUUCUACAAUACGCGAAGGAAAUUUGAAUCUUUGUUCUCUUUAUCUUAUGUGGAGGAAGCGGCUUUGUUGUUGUUGCAGCUGCUUUUGGAGUCGCUGGGACGUAUUAUUGAUAGCACUCGGUUUUGUGAUGAGCUUAGAGAGUGGGACUGACUUUGUUAUACUCGUGUAAAUUUUCGAUGCAGUACAAUAUAGCAACCGCUAACUGAAAAAAUAAAUCAACAUAAUUUAAUGAUGGCAGCCUUAAUGACGGCAAUUUCAGCAAAAAGCUAUACAUAGCGCGGGAUAAUAAUGGGCGCAAAUAAAUCCAGUGUAUAAUAAUCCGUCGGAUAAUUAGUUUACAGCUUUAAACGAUACACAUUCUCCGAGUCAUCGUCGUCCCUUUAUACCUUCAUUACCUGUCGUUUGUUAAUUUCCUUUUUUUCCUUGGUUCUUUCUCUCGUGCACACGAGCGGCAACGGCUCUCUCUCUCUCUCUCUCUCUCUCUCUCUCUCUCUCUCCUGAUGCUGCUGCCUCUCUCGUCCUUGACUGGCGAUUCUCGAUCGUUUAUCCGAUGCUACUUGCAUAUUUACUGCUGGUUUGGCUAUAUUUAGCCCGGCGUGUUAUAUUAUACACUGCGUAAUAUACACACAUGCGUUAUCACAACUCAAAGUGCUCGAUGUCAAAUGAUAAUAAUUUAUUUUUUUGCACGUGGAGGAGGAAGAAUAUCGUCAAGCUCUAGAAUUGGACUGGCCUUUCGUAUUGUACCACUUUGACUUAUCAGCUCUUUGGUUUCUGGCUAACGACGCUAGGUGGCGUAAUUUUCAGUUGCAAACAAAAGUAUCCGACACAGUAACAAACGUAUCCGCUAUAGCAAACCGAUUCAAACAGGAAAAAUCGCUCUCCUUUAUUGCAUCUCUCCGUCGCUCGGUGUUCUCUCCUUCGUUUUUCGUCGUUUGUCAUACAAGGAUCGAUUUGCGCGAGAAAGGGUGAAAAUUACCGCGACUCGUCUGCGCCACAGCUCCUGCUCGCUCAGGUCAUUACCGAUCUUCCGUCGCGACUGGCUUUCGAUAACGUUCUCGUCGGCGCCAGGCCUUUGUGUUUUUCCUCUCGUGCCGCAAUUUUCUCAUUUUCUACCGACAGUACACCGUACCCCCACUCCCUCGUGCGCAGCGUUCUGUUUUGUUGCAUGUUUGCUCCGCUCUCUCGCAUUGUGCGAGCAAUGAAUCGGGAGAAAUUUGUCGCAUUGUCGUAAUGAAGUUUGUAAAGGCCAUUUAAAUCCGAGCGCGCUAUUGUGCACCGAGCUUUGUGCAUUCGCUAUGGUGUACAAGAGUCGCUUUUUAUUGUUGUUUGUUGUACGUGUGUGUGUGUAUAAGAGGAGCUUUAAUUAAGGAGUUUUGCAGCGCGAGUUUGCAUUCAUAGUUUUGAGAUCAAAAAAUUUAUAGAUAUGACUUGUAAGGGUAACGUUCAUAACUUCAUUUCGAGGAGGUGUAAGAUCGUCAAAGUCAUUUUUCGAAAUAAAAAUCGCAUACUAUACUAUGCGUAUUCUUCAUUAGCUCUUGAUCCACAAGCAAACUUCGUAUACUAACAGAUCGAAAGCGCACUUAUUGUUUUUACGAGGCACUUAACGUUUCUGACCUUCACUUCACGGAAUGCAUUUUCCAACGGCGCGCGCUCUAUAUAUCGACGCAAUUAAAACCAGUAUAAAUUAAUGUAAUGAAAAUCCACUACAUUGUAGUGACUAUUCACUAUUCCCUUAAAGUGAUAACUACGCAACUACAAAAUAGUGAAUAUUCACUACACGAAAUAAAGAAACUAAAUUCACUGUACGAAGUAGUGAGUAUUCACUGUUCCAAGUAGUGAAUAUUCAAGGUUUUAAACAGUGAAUAUUAGCUGUUUUUCAAUAGUGUAGCUUCAAUCAAUUGAUGAAUUUUCACUACAAGAAACAGUGAAUACUCACUACUUGUAGCAGUUAAAAAUUAUCGUAUUUCAAAAUUCGAUUUUGAAGGUUACUCAUGCUGAAAUAAUUACAAAAGAAUUUUAAAUGAACGUCAAGCUAGUUUAUUAUAAAGAUUCAUCGUCAGAAGCAUCAGUUAGUGAUUCGCAGUCAAUCAACUGUUCAUCUUUGAUUGACGAUAAAUUUACAUGGAGUGUAGUUACUGAACUGACUGCAGGCGUGUCAGAUGUAAUUUUAUACACAAAACGCUGAAUGAAAUAAAAAAAAUUUCGCUUAGACGCGUCCACCUUAAUCUGGCACAAUAAAUGCACAACCCGAGCACAAACAGCACAGGAGUAAUUACGUUUACCUCCAAGUUCACGGCACAAUGACUCGAUGAUGCACGGACCCGAACGUGACAACUGCCCGCAAUGGCGCCGGCGCGCUGCACGACAUCUUUCGCGAACCUGCAGGAGUUCGAUUCACUAUUUAAAUAGUUAUUUUCUCACUACGUAAAUAGCGCAGAACAUAGUAUUUUACCAAAGUAGUGAAAUUUACUAUCACACUAGUGAAGAGUUCACUACUUUGUUAUAGUGAAAUAAAUAUAACCUAUCAUUUUCCACUACUUUCCCAGUGAAAAGUAUGUUCACUAUGCAAAAUAGUGAAACUUUCACUACUUUAAUUUAAGAGAGUAUAAGCAGUUUUUGAAACGCAUACUUCGUUUGCCUCGAAAUAUUCCCUACUCCUUUGUGCCACUCUUACAACACCGAGCGCCAUACCGUUGUGUUCUUUAAAACUAUAAUACGUCAAGAAAAAAAAAGAAGAAACUCAGUCACGCACUUUUCAACGGCCGAGUUCGUCGACCUCCCGAGGAAACAACAGCUCGUCAAAAACGCAUCGCGCCUCUGUUGCGGAAAACAGUAGGCGCGUUACGGAAUCUUCUGGAGAAGUGGCUUCAUGCACACUUGGCUUUCGCUUUCGCGCGCGACAGGAAGCGCGUAUCUCGCGGAUAAGGAUCAUCCAUCUACGCGAGUUUGUUCCAGCCAAACACUUUGUGCCUGAUCCGUCUGGACGAAUGUAUGGUUGUAUCAGUGGGUGAAGAUAUGGCUAGAUAUAGUGGUGUGCAACAAUGCUAAAACUUCUUUGUUUUAGAACGUCCACUUCCGAUCCAUCAUGAUAGUCAAUUAUAUCAGCACCAAACCUAAUCAACAACCGGGCUGUCGAAGAGCGUCUGAAGUCGCUAGUCUUCGAAAUGUUCUAUAAGUUACUAUUAUACGGUUUCAAAAUUAAUACUUCGGUGAUGAUUCACAUCGUACACACACUGUACGUACAUCGAUGCGUCGAAAAUUUUUCUUGAAGCGUUAAAUUUCAAGAUAACGACAUUAAACGUUUCAAUAUACGUUUUCCUGAAAGGCGAUAUAGUAAUUUCUCGAGAAUCCGGUUCGUACCAGCAGCGUCGGCGUCGGCGCCGCUCGAGGCAAAUAUUUUCCAUCUGCACCCACACGAUCGACGGAAGUCCGAACGACUCCGUGGCCUUUUUCAGCGACAGGAGAGAAGCUUCGAACUGCGUCUCUCGGCUUUGCAGAUCUACGCGAAAUCGCGUAUACGAAUGAUUUUGUGCUGUGUGUAGUCGAGGAAAACAAAGGAUUGUUAAAGAUAAUAAUAGGUUGCGCUUUUUUAAAGCUGUACGUAAUUGCUAUAGAUAGAAGAUGGCGAACGUUUUCCAACAGCGAAACUGAUGUUUGCAUAAGUUCUUUGUUGCUGUUAAAAGCUCCUGUAUUCAGAAUUCUUCUAUAUAAGCAGAUUAGCAUAUUAAACCAGAGUCACGUUUUUUUUAAACAUAUUAUUACGAUUGUAUCUUGAAAUCGUUUAAUUGAAGUUAUGGAAAUACCAUUAUCGAUCUGUACAUCCUCUUAAUUACUACUUAUCUUUGCAAGGGUAUCGAUUCGUUUUAAAUCGCUAAUAAAGCAUCUGCGAAUAGAUUUGCAUAAUUAAUUUUCUGCAUCUUCCGACGGAACAAUUGCUUUUGCUAUCUUACUAUGAAUAAAACAUAGACGACUAUAUUUUCAGUUUUUAUACCCAAAUCGUGAUAUCACGCGGCAAAUAAAAAAUCGCUUUGUAAUUCAAAGCAAACUUUUACGACCGUAUAGCAUAUACUCACAUUCACAGUAGAAAGAACAUAAUAUGCCAAACUAUGAUUGUAUUAUUAUUUUACGAUCGAUUCAAAGAACAUAAUAUAUAACGUCCUCACAGACAUACGCCGCAACUGCGGAGCGAUAUUUCACGACCGUGCAUUUGACACUGUUCAUCCGCCGCAUCACGUGAGCGUCGACGUUAGUACAUAUACACGUAUACAUAUAGAAUCCAGUGGAGCAGAUAGUGCAUCGGAUAAAACUGCCCGGGACACACGUGUGUGCAUAUGACAUCGAGCCCAUGUGCUUCCGGUCUUGCUUUCGUGCGUUUCGAUCUUCGUCAGUGGAAAAGAGUUGGUUUAGGUGACGCGUGCGGUAUAUUGUGGUCCGGAAGUCGGGUUCCUUUCAGUCCUUACAGGUAUACUUACAGGUAUACUUAGACGCUUUUUCAUUUUCGUGAUCACGUGCAGUACUAUAGGAAACAGAUGUGCAAUAACAAUGUGUAUUUGUUUAUAUCUUUUUGCGGACACAAGUGAAAUCGCUUCAAACCAGCUCUCGAAUUAAUUACUCACAACCGCUUCGAGCAAGUAGACACAAGCCGGGUUUAGUAAGUCAUCAAACGCACCGCGACUACUUAACCCGUAUUAGGUCGCAUUAGUUCACCUUCGCGGCACUUCUGUAUACGACGCGGGAACGUGCUGCGAGACGCUGUUUUGCUCGCGCGCGAUCCGAACCCGAUAUCAAAUGUGGACUGGUUAACAGCUGAUGCAAAUCGAUCGGCAAGGUCGACGCACGAUUUCUGGAUCGUACUAUUACGGCUUCCUUUGAAAGAUGCGGAACGAGGCAUGAGAAUGACUAAACAUCGUUGACGGCUUGAUUUGAAGAAUUGAUUCAUCGACUUGACAAAAUUAAAACUUGCAGUGAUUUAAUUGACACUUCUAUAUAGUAUCAUCCAGGCGAAUAACCGCUCAUUCGUUUAUUAUACCUCCGCGAUUGAAGGCGAAAAAAAAAAUUCCUAUAUAACGCAGUGUCAUGUAGGCAUCGCUAUAUGACGUCAGCAUCGAAUCCACUCAACGCGGUAUCAUCACGCGGUUCGUUUGUUCGUCUCCCUUUUUUCUCGUCGUCGUCGUCUUUAAUUCCAUCGAGGACGAGGAUCGUCCGAUCCGUCGAUUCGGCGAAUCGCAUCUGUGCGUCUAUUGUUCGAUCGUGGCUCGAGGCGUCAAUGCGUUCGCACUUGUGAUGCGUAUUAUAUUGCGUUUUAAAACCAACUGCGCCUUGUCUACACACGUAUACUUCACCUGUUCCGUUAUUAUCAGUCUCGAGGCUGCGUUUUUCCGUUCGACCGCCGCUAACAUUGCGUAACAGCCUAGUUAGACGAUAAUUGCUUCUUAAUUAUUCGGCAGCAGAAAAAUAAAGAGGGCGAGGCGUUUUGAGUGGUAUUUUUUAACGAGACUACGAGCCGCCACCGGCUUGUUUAUCACUUUUGUGAUAGGUUGCUUUUUGUCGAGCACGCGCAAAAUGAUCGAUGAAUCGAUAUGUGCAUAGCACAGCUUCGAAAACUGAUGAGAACUGCAAGCUAUACUGCCGUCGAGAGCUAGUGGCUAAUACUAUGUCUCACUUAGUCGAGCAGUGUUAUAGGCGACAAGAAGCGACAACGAUUCCAAUGUUCAAGGCGAGAUUCAAUGUGAGGUUGAAGUAUAUUUCGAGGACUGCGAGCAGCUUUUUUAUACUCUUCGGCUGCGCUGCUACGCGCCGCACUUGAAGUUCAGAGGGAGAGACGAGGUGGUAAAAAGGUUUCAAAGGCAUCUCUUCUGAUGAGCGAAGCCUAGACUGCGGAGGGAAGCGUAUUUUGUUUUUUCGUUCAAAGAUAAUAAAAAGUCGAACUCUUCGCGUAAUGAUACUCGGUACGGUGAACCGAGUUAAUAUUUCUUUCUACAAUAUAAGAGGAAGAAUCUUCUGAGAUCGUUGCUUUCUCUCGUCCUUUUUGCAUAGUAUGCGCGACGCAGUUUUAUACAAAUUCAAAACCGCAAAUGACGCACGGGAAGUGUAAAAAAAAAAUUGUGCGCUUGCCGGAACAGCUGAUCGUGCAUUCCUUUCACAUUUGGACGAGAACGAUAUCUCAAUUUCGAGUUUCGCAAGAAAUAUCCGACGACACUCGCAUAAUUCAUACGCUAUCCAAAUCAAUCACCGGUUACGCGUAUACAAACUUCAUCGAUAUAUGAUUCCAAUACGCCGAACCACGAUUCGUUCAAGUGUCUCCAAUUCACAGCAAUAAACGGCUGAUGCAUGAAGCGGACGCAACACGCAGUCGCAGCGCAGCCUCUCCUCUCUAAUCCCGCGAAAAUUCCCACAGCUCGGAAAAUUGCGUCACGCCUGCGUGUACAGCGCUGUAGCUUCGAGGGAAGUGAACAACCUGUCGCGUAGGGAGCCGUGUUCCGCGAGUCUAUACGUACGCGCAUACGUACGUAUAGCUAUAUGUAUACUGAGAAAAGGUAAAAAGAGAGAGAGAACAAGGACGGCGCGAUCUACCUCAAGCCGAUGGAAUGCAACUCCGCUGUCGAUCCGCAAGGACGUUGCCCUCUUGAAGCUUCUUUUCUUAUUCGCUCGCGCACGGGAGGCUUCUUUUUUACACGCGCGGACUGCCGAAUUUCUAUGCGAGAUGCAGGAGAGCCGAAAGCGUGACUUUACGAGGAGCUGCGGGAAAAAGUACGAAGAACGAGCUCUGACUGCCGAUCUCGGAUGGCUUCGGCAAUUUUAUGGCUGCUCGGAUGGUCAUCUGAGUGUUCGGAUGGAAUUAACGAGGAGCGAGUCGACGGCUGAUUAAGCUAGGGAUUAGUGCACGCGUGUGGAUUCAGCUGCUUUUAUUUUUUUUUAACUCUCCGAUUCUAUUGUAUUGUAAAAUCUUGGAAUUAAAAUCUUCAAGCGCCGACUUAGCAAUGUCUUAUGAGAUUAUGUGUAACGCAGAAGCUAUGCUAAGAGCCCUCGCUGAGUCACCCAUACAACGAACUACAUGCUUAUAUACACCGAUAAACCGCAUUUUUACAAGCCUCUAGCUCUCUCCACUAUACCGCUUUAUCUCGUACAAAAUCGACUUACAAAUAGCCGCGCGCAAAGAAUCGUGUACACGAUCCUUCACGAUUUCGCGAAUAAAUCGUGUCUUCGAGUCACACAGCGUCUCGCGAUUUCAUCUCAAACUAUUCGAUCGGACGUGAUGAGUCGCGCAAGCGCUUCCUCGAAAAAAAUCACUGGCCGAUAUAGGAGCAUUUAAAUCGCCCGCUAUACAAGCGCGAAUCGGAGUCUCUCGGCUAUACCUAUAGUGCAUAAAAGAAGGGAAAACGGUAUAUAAUACCCUCAGCGAGAGAUGCGGCUUGUGAUAUAGCUGUUUCGUGCAGCACACGCGCGUAACGGAUAACGCGCGGGCCGAUGCGCGGCGCGAGCAAGAAAUGCAAAAAUGAAGAGUUAGCGCGGUACCGCUUAUGCUAAUUCUCAACGUGAGAUUGUGUGCACUAUACUGAAUGAGUUUGCUUGUGAUGUACUUUCCUCUUCCAUUAUUUACACGAUAUGAAUCGAAAAUUAUCGCUAUAGUUUUCGAUUACAAACAACGCAGACCUUCCUGUAAAAAUCCUGAAACGCGGUAGUCCAUACACUAGCCGCAGGCGGUUCUCCAAAAAGCAACAAGACCGCAAGAACAACACGGCGAUUCGUCUGAAAGUGACUCAAGCAGCAGUUCAUUUCGAACCAUGGACUGUCUCGAUUUUUUCCCUCCAUCAAUUGCAGCGCAACUGCAAUUGUCUCGCGCGAUCGAUAGCCACUUGUAGGGUUUUUUCGCGAGAUCGCGAGCUAUAAAGUAACGGGUCCUUUGUUUCUCUCCCCUUACUGUUUCUGCGAAUUGUCGAAAUCGAUGCUUUCGCUGAAAAUCGCUGUGGGAUUACAUAUCGCGAAUUCAGAUGCUGCGCGUUUUUGCCACCGGAAAUUCUGCAGCUUUUCGUAGAGCGAGUCAGAGAGAGGAUGACGCUUGGGAUGAAUGGAGGUACUGUGCGCUGUGUUUUUUGAGAAAGGACGUUUUGUUUGCUGAUGUGGCCUGAGGCGAUGUAGCUUAGGAAAAUAUCGCCAGUGGCUUUGAAUCACGGAUGAAUUGCAAGAAUUUGUGAAAAAUACUCGAUAUUUCACCUGAUAAAUUCACUUUCCUCUCGAUCGUAUAGAAGCUUAUAUAGGUGUCACAGUGACACUGGCACAAAGUAAGCCAAUUACGUCAAUUCAAUUACUCGCGCCACCGUCCAACAUGUCAUUUACAGAAAUCAUAUUAUUAAAUGUUUCUAAUUAUGCAGAUGAAUGAUCACAAUAUAAUAAGCGAAAAUCACAGUCUGUAAUCAUGAUCAAUUCGUGUACAGAUAGAACAACUUCGAUCGAUGUGGAAGAAAAAUAAACACCUCGACGAUGACGCCGCUAUUCAAUCUCACAAUAGCAAACGAACGCGCGAAAUGUGGAACGCACCUUCGCAUGUAUAUUUGCGGAGCGUAUAUUUACGCGCGUGUACAUGGCAAUUCCAGCGUCGUCCGCGGCAAUCGAUGGACAUUCCGGCUUGUGCUUCUGGUUUCGAGCUCACCGCUCGAUUAUUAAUUCACAACGCAGGGGAUCGACCCGACAAGGCUGUGGCUGGUCUCCGCGAUUAUUUCCUCCGUCGGAGUGUCGAUUCAAUCGUUUUUCUUUUCGUUUCCGGGAUCGUCGCAUUAUCGCGCGCUUCGUCGAUUUGGACGGAUUUUGUUUGUGAUUAUUGCAGGGGAUUCGAAUGCCGGGGAUGUGGUGAGGUAGCACUCGUGACUGCAAAGUUCUUGGAAACACUUAUUAGAAUUAUGACGCGCGGGAAGUUAUUUUAAAAUAUUGCGUGCGAGUAUCAAAUUCAGUUUUUGCGCUUUAUUCGCUCUAGUUUUCUGAUUCCAUUGAGCCGCUGAAUGAGUGCUUUGUUCUGCGGAACGGCACGCACUAUUCCUUACUAUGGAUAUAUUUCAGUGACAAUGUUAUUUACUCUGCGCGAUGGAUUAUUUAAGCCACUGUGCCUAUGAGAUUCCGUAUCACUGUACUGGUUAAGCUUCAUUUAGGGAUUACGCGUUGGAGAACAAGCAUUUCUUUGAGAAAAAAUGAUCAAUGUAUGAAUGUAGUACUAUAGAGUGAAUCAUCGAUCCAGCGAUGAUUCGGUAGAAACUGCCGAAUUUAGAGAUUGGCGCACUUCCUGUGAAUAUAAAUGAAUUUAUUAACUAGCAUAAAAGGAACGUGCAAUUACGUUGUAGCAUACGCUUUGUUAUUUAAUUGUUACACUGUAUGACGUUAAUGCUUCAACUUCCGAUUACGCAAUCUACCAACUAAAGUAUUGCUAGCUUGACAUGACAAACGUCAUCGUCACCAACAAAAAAAAAAAAAAAAAA